RNAcentral lists this ribosomal RNA (160 nucleotides) under Staphylococcus hominis. RNAcentral describes it as "partial 23S ribosomal RNA". It matches the Rfam family "Bacterial large subunit ribosomal RNA", at positions 1 to 159 of the family's 2925-position model. The record is from RNAcentral. Lineage: Bacteria; Bacillati; Bacillota; Bacilli; Caryophanales; Staphylococcaceae.
AGAUUAAGUUAUUAAGGGCGCACGGUGGAUGCCUUGGCACUAGAAGCCGAUGAAGGACGUUACUAACGACGAUAUGCUUUGGGUAGCUGUAAGUAAGCGUUGAUCCAGAGAUUUCCGAAUGGGGAAACCCAGCACAAGUUAUGUUGUGUUAUCGACAAGU